ACAGAGCAUUGGCAGAUUGAAGGAUCUGUACUUAGGCAACCAACAUCGUAGUUGUCUAAAAAGCUUCUAGUCAAUUCUUUUUAGAAAUAUGCAUGUGUAAAGGUACGGUUCAUUGGAGGGGAUGGACCUAAACGCGUCAGGCUGGAAGAGAUGAGGGAAAACACACUUCCAAGAUCGAGUGGAAAUGCUGAGUGCCGUACCAUAUGCCUUCUGGCCGUAUGUUCUUAAGCAGUACUCUUUUACUCGUCGAGCAGUUCUUUGACAGAUGCAUUCUGCAUAGCCAUAUUAGAGGCUGCUAGUUGUGGAUUAUUGACAUUCAGGACACGCGUAGGAGAGGUUCCUUCUUCAUCUAGCUAACACGAUAUCAUAUAGUCGUUGCUUUUUGUACAUGUUGCUAGAGACAUGUUCACGGGAUUGAGCUCUGGUAAUCCUAAAUCCUACAGGCAGCUAAUUUGUUACUUCUCGUGAUAUUAUUAGGUUCUACCAGACGACAAGAUCUUACUUGUAGAACCAGAUCCUAGUGAUAUGGUAAGAUCAAAUGGAAAGGCAAUAUCUCUACUUCCGAAUAUUGACCCGCAACUGACGCAUAAUCGUGUGAGCGAGCCAUUCAUGUAAGUUUAGUCUUCCUGAGAAUUUUAUAGCAACUAUUCAUAGAAGCUCAAUCUUUGCGCUGCAUCAGAAACUCUACGAUUGGCAUGAUGCUGCAAAAUGAGCAGAUAUUGUGUCUGACCGUGCUUUGAAAUGCCCUGAUUAGAAUUCCUUAGAACGACUCUCACGGUAUGCAACUGAUCAGAUCGGAUACAUAAGAUCCAAACUCAGUUUUUUUUUUUUUUUGGACUUUUUGCUGUAUAAUUGCACAUAAACUGAUGCGAUUUACUGUGAAGUUGUAGACUGGUGAGUGCCUAAACAAAGACAGUUGAUGGAGGCUUCGUUAGGCUAUCAGAAUGUUCAUCAGCAUCUUCAGCAGAAAAUCCAGUAGCAUGUGCACCAAUUAUUCACACCAUCCAUACUGUUACUAAUUCGAAAAAAUCCUGCUAGUCACUUGAUUGUUUCCUUAUUUCCCUCAUUAUACCCUGACAGUUUAACUGAACCACACCGCUAAGUAAGCCAAUCCAAAGGAUAUCUCGUCUUUUUCUUUCUGUCGCUUCAGUUUUCACAGGCUUUCUUAACAUUGGUGACAACUGUUUAUUAGAUGCUUCUCUUGUGGUACCUGGGCAGGCAAGAAUUUCUGCUUCGUUAGGAUAAUUUUUUUUUUUUUUGCUAUGGCGUCAACUGCAAUUAUGGCAGGGACCACCAGUUCCUACAUAUAUCGAGUCUUGACCUUGCAGACAAAUUCUGCUAUAAUGCUAUCCACAUAAUAUUCAACCUUUAAUUAUUUUCUCUCUUUGUUUUUUUCUUUUUCUUUUUUGAUAUUUCUUCAGCCAAUGGAGGAUAUCAAGGAGGUGCCUGAAUUUACAUUUCCCCGUCAUCACUAUGAAGACACGAUCUCAAAUUUCAAAGAGGACCAAAGCUUGGAUAACAUUUAAGUUAUAGAGUCCUCUUGGUUCAUCAGGAUGCCUAUUGGAUUCCCUUCCAUCCAUGAUUUCUCUCAUCCUUAAUGUGAAAGAUGAAUUUUUGAUAUCUAUGGGAAUGAAUUUUGAACUCUAUAAUGUAUAUGCAUGUAGAAAGAUAUAAUUAUUCUUUAAAUCUCUUGAAUUA
Long non-coding RNA from Populus euphratica (Euphrates poplar), 1698 nucleotides. RefSeq lists it as uncharacterized. The transcript has 2 exons. The record is from RefSeq and is a predicted model, not a curated record. Lineage: Eukaryota; Viridiplantae; Streptophyta; Magnoliopsida; Malpighiales; Salicaceae.